RNAcentral lists this ribosomal RNA (253 nucleotides) under uncultured bacterium. RNAcentral's name for it is "partial 16S ribosomal RNA". It matches the Rfam family "Bacterial small subunit ribosomal RNA", at positions 524 to 776 of the family's 1533-position model. The record is from RNAcentral.
UACGUAGGGCGCAAGCGUUAUCCGGAAUUAUUGGGCGUAAAGAGCUCGUAGGCGGUUUGUCGCGUCUGCCGUGAAAGUCCGGGGCUCAACUCCGGAUCUGCGGUGGGUACGGGCAGACUAGAGUGAUGUAGGGGAGACUGGAAUUCCUGGUGUAGCGGUGAAAUGCGCAGAUAUCAGGAGGAACACCGAUGGCGAAGGGAGGUCUCUGGGCAUUAACUGACGCUGAGGAGCGAAAGCAUGGGGAGCGAACAGG